RNAcentral lists this ribosomal RNA (364 nucleotides) under Streptomyces violascens. RNAcentral describes it as "bacterial SSU rRNA". It matches the Rfam family "Bacterial small subunit ribosomal RNA", at positions 89 to 454 of the family's 1533-position model. Lineage: Bacteria; Bacillati; Actinomycetota; Actinomycetes; Kitasatosporales; Streptomycetaceae. The record is from RNAcentral.
GGAUUAGUGGCGAACGGGUGAGUAACACGUGGGCAAUCUGCCCUUCACUCUGGGACAAGCCCUGGAAACGGGGUCUAAUACCGGAUAUCACUGUCUCCCGCAUGGUGGAUGGUGUAAAGCUCCGGCGGUGCAGGAUGAGCCCGCGGCCUAUCAGCUUGUUGGUGAGGUAAUGGCUCACCAAGGCGACGACGGGUAGCCGGCCUGAGAGGGCGACCGGCCACACUGGGACUGAGACACGGCCCAGACUCCUACGGGAGGCAGCAGUGGGGAAUAUUGCACAAUGGGCGAAAGCCUGAUGCAGCGACGCCGCGUGAGGGAUGACGGCCUUCGGGUUGUAAACCUCUUUCAGCAGGGAAGAAGCGAA